GGUGCGAGGAUCUGAAUGGUAUUAUUACCCGGUGAACCUGCAUCCAUCUUGAUCGGUGGAAACAUGUUUGUUCUAAGCAAUGAGAACGCAACCUUCUGAUCGUGCAGCUACAAUGUUACUCCGCAACAAUCCAGACUCAGAUGAGAGCAUUGAUGAAGAUGUUGAAGAGUUAAACGACGUUUUCCCCAACAAUUACAAUGUCGUUUCAGUGGACGCCACCAACAAGCAAGAAUUGCCUCUUCCAGUGAGGUUGGAAUUUCUAAAAGGAAUCUGUAAUCAGAAUGUGGCUGGGAAAGGCACCACUUUAUCAUCUUCAUCAUUUGAGAUACCCCUUGAAGAUGAGGUUGAAGUGCCUGACUUCAAGGAGGGAGACUUCGGUGACAUCACGGGUGAGAUAGUUGCCAAUUCAAGUGAUGAAGAUAUCAUUUCUCAAGAUGAGGGUAGCACUGUCCUGUCAGCAAGACAGCUUCACAAAUGUGGUCCUCGAUUUAUCAGAAAUCAACAAGUUAGAGAUACAAAUGGAAACUCCGAAGCAUUGUUACAUUCCAAAGAAAGUGCUUCAUGUUCAGCAUCCCAUGCUACAUGCUCCAAAUCAAAUAGAUCCGGCCUCUGGAGCAAAGCUAAGCCAAGACUUUCACACAAAUCUGGGCACUUUGGUCCUUCAAUCUCCAAUAUUGAUAGACUACCUGAAAUUAUGAAAGCUGUUGAUCCUAAGGCUUCUGCAAAUUUAGAAGGAAAUUUUCUUGAAAAUGAUGGCAGAAUCAAAAUAAAUUCAGGCACUGAGCCCGAUGAAACAGAAGACCUUGCACAUGGAUUUAAUCAGCGCUCGAUGACUGAUCUUUUUGAUAAUCUCCAAGAUAAGAGUGAUCUGUAUUUUCAACAUGAUAGUCAAAGACGAGGAAAAACAGUGCAGCUUUUUGAGAAUAGUAGAUCCCACUUGCAAGACACCGGUAUUGACUGUGAAAACUCUCCCGAGCCUGUAGAUAGUGGAUCAUCAAGUGACAAUGAGGUAACUGAUCGAAAUAUGAAAAAUACUUUUCCCAGAAAGAAAAUGCAGACCAUGGCUGAUCGAUUUCAAGAAGCUUUGGGUACUUCCUCUGUUAUCGGUGAAGGGACUCUUGUUGGAGCACUUAAUUCAUUGAGAGCUGGAAUAUUUGGAAAACUACAGCAGGUGUUGCUGAAAGAAAAAGAAAUAGACAUGGACUUCCGCAAAAAGUUACAAGCUGGAGCUAGGCCAGAUAGUGAACUUGGCUGUGUUGAUGUAAAAAUCAUUUCAAGAUACCUGGACGGAAAGCUGUGUGUUUGUCAUUGCUCAUUUGGCAAGUACACUGAGGUGAGAAUUUUCUAUUACAAGAUAAUUCCAAAGGAAUGAGGUUUGGUGGCAGCAAAAGUGGUCAAAGCACCAUUAUCUUCAGUCAAAGGGUUUGCGAUAACGUUGACGUUGAAGUUGGGAACUUGAUCCGUAUUCACCCUCCGUGGAAGGAAGUUCAAGUGGGAAAUGAUAAUAUUAUCUUGUGCACUUAUUUCUCCAAAAUUUCAUUCCCAGUUUGAUUCACGGUAGUCAGAGCAGACAAGCAGCAUGUAGCAUGUUCAUUUUAGUUUCUUACAAAUCAACGAAAAUGGUGCAAACCUCCGUUUGUAGUGAAUAGAUUAUAAAACAAAUAUACUGAUGUUCAGCUUAUUUGAAAAUGAGUUCUUAAUUAAAAUAUCGGAACUAGGAAAAGGAUAGCCCUUCUUUCUUUUGACUCAUGAAUCAAAUGGAACCUUUGAAUAGUACAAUUAGAGUAUGUACUGGCUGGCUUAUAACCUGUAUAUUGGCUUGGCAAUGGAGAAAAUUAUUUUAGGAGUGUCUGACAAAA
This is an RNA transcript of Gastrolobium bilobum, 1859 nucleotides long. RefSeq lists it as uncharacterized. The record is from RefSeq and is a predicted model, not a curated record. Lineage: Eukaryota; Viridiplantae; Streptophyta; Magnoliopsida; Fabales; Fabaceae. The transcript has 13 exons.